UCUCCUCCUGCUCCACCCUCUACAGAGCCAGGCUUCCUUGUGCCCCAGCCAGGCCAGCAACUGAGUUAGGGUUGGGAUCUGUGCCUUCUCAGGGACCAGGAGAGUGUGCCUUCGUCAAGCCUCCCUGUCGGGCUUUCCCAGUUGCACUGGGGCUGAGCUGAGAAUUCCCCUGGGUUUCUAUGUGGGUCCCUAAACACAUUCCAAUACUGGUGACUGGUGCUGCUUUAGGGGGUCAGCAAAGAAUGGAGAAUGUGGUCCCAAGCUCACUGCCUCAGUGGUGACAGUGUGGACAUUCAACCUAUUGUGUCAGCUUGGCCACCCACCUCCCUCACAUUGCUGUGGUGGGCAGUGUGCCCACUGCUUCUCCAUCCAUGAAGCACCUACUGCCUGGGUUGGCUGUGCCAAGGCUGAUACUUGGUGAGCCUCCCCAGGGCCCAGCAGAUAUGAGGAGCAAGGGAGGAACAGGAACAGGACCCCAGGAACAAGCCAUGGACACCAAUCAUGGAACCCUAGAGCCAGAGGGUGGCCUCUAAGGCCUCACGCUACAGGGGCACCCACAGAGGCAAAACCAUUUGCUAGAGGUCACAUACGGAUUACUAAAGCCAAAGCCAAGCCUGGGGGACAGACAGGCUAGCCGAUGGCCGACCUAGAGGACGGCUGAGGACCGAGGAGACGGUCGAGCUGGGGGAUGGAUGACCUAGGGGACAGUUGAGCCUAGGGGAUGGAUGACCUACAAGACGGCCAGGCUAGGGGACGGCCAACCUAGGAGACAGAUGACAUGGGAGACAGCCGAGCCACGGGCAGCUGACCUGACUUCCGCAUGGUGUGGAGUCAGCCUGAGCAAGAGCUGGGUGCUGUGCCUUUUCAAGACAUGGGUGCUAAAGAGGAAAAUAAACCGAACAAAAAUAGCCAUAAAGGACAUUUUGGGAACAAUUAAAGAAAUUCAACUGAGGACUGGAUGAUAGUAUAAAUGUGUAAUAUUAUCAAAUUGUUAAGUUCCUUGCAAGUGAUAAAGGCACUAUUAAUGUACUUUUAUGUAGGAAAUUUAUAUAGGAAAAUGUCUGAGUUCUUAGGAAGUCCAUCCUAAAAUGUUUAGGGACGAAGGGUCGUGGUAUCUAACCAAUGAUUCAUUACAAAAGGUCAUAUAAAAGAUGACAUAUAGAUGAAGCGAUGUGGCAAAAUGGGAACCUUUGGCAGACACAGGUGAGAGGCAUAUGGGUGUUCAUUGUCUUCCUCUUUUAACUUUCCUGUGGGCUUAAAUCUUUCAAAAUAAGUGUGGGGAACAGGGGCUCUAAAGUGAGGAUGGGGUUUGACCUGCCUCGGAAGGAGGAAGCCACUUCUGCCAGGCCACGAUCCCGGGGCCACUCCAGCAGCACAGACGCCUCCUCCCGCCUCACAGCAUCUGUGAAACAAGAGCCUGGGUUUUGUUUUGUUAGAAACUUUUAAACCAGUCAAAAUACUUAUUUUUUAUUUAAAAUGUUUAUCAUAGAAAAUUUAGGAUAAUUCAGACUUUUAAAAAGUCACCUGUAGCCCCGAUCUACAAGAGAGAACUCGCGUUUACCUCUUUUCUAAUUGCUUCCAUUUGACUUUAAAUACAAGCAACGCAGCUGCCUCUUGAGCCCGGCGGCCCACCAGGGUGUGGCCUGGGCACCCUGCCACCCCACAUCCAGAUUCACAGCAGAACGUCAGCUCCUGUGGCUGGCCGCCACCUCAGGCACACAGGGAUGGGUGGUGACUUCGCCCCUCCCAGCCCGGAAAACGGGUAGAUUGUGGGAAGGCAGCCACUGCCCCCCCAUUACUGUUGACAUCAGCCAUAGGUGAAGAUGUUAGUGCUGUUCCUUAGGGUGUAGCCCAUAGUUCCCGUGGGCUUUUUGCAAGCUGCUUCGGGAAAUCAUCUGUCUCUCUCUUUUUCUGAACCGGCUUGUUCUCAUAAUGACAUUCUCUUGCUCUGAUUUGUGGAAGAUGUGGGUCCACUUGAAGCAGGCAGGACACAGGUGCUCAAAGUCGAAGGAGGCAAAUUUAUUCUUCCCUCGCCUACAGGCUUGGGAAGCACAGCUCCGCACAAGGCCGGCCCACAGAUGGGAUACAGGGAGUGCGGCUGGGGUUGCAGCUGGCCUGGAACUCUCAGGGCUUCCCUGUCUUGUGCACCACCACACACCCUGGUUUCCUUAGUGCCUUUCAGCCGUUUAAUAUGGCUGGUGAGACCACAAGAGCAGAUGUGACUCACCUUGACCCUCAGAGCAGCUCUGCGCAAGGUGUGAUGGAAUGAGAAGAGGCGCCUGCUGCUGCCUGACGUGCUUUUGGUGAACAGCAGUUACUGAUGCUAGUUCAAUUCCCUUUACCGGGCACAAUCAAGAAAUGGCAGCUGGGUGGCACACAGGAACACUGCCAGUGGAGGGAGGGCAUUUCGGGAGAGAUGGUCAGUUUCCCUCCCAGUUUUGCUGCGUCUGUCUGUCUCUGAGAGCAGGACCCCCUUUCCUCCCGCCCCCUACUUCCACUCGCCCGGAGCACUCAGCAGGAAGAAGUGGGCUGAAUUUCCACAAGCACAUGGUCACUCAAGGAGAAAAGCAUCUAGAAUCACAUAUUUUAAUGGCUUUAACUUUACACAAGGGACAUUGAGAUGAGGCGAGUUUUGGGGGUGGUGAGGAAGAAGCUGUUUCUUCCCAGUAAAAGAGUGAAUCCCGGCCAUAUUCAAAACCGGGUCCACUCAGAUGCCGCCGCUGGGAUCUUCACACCCAGAUUCCCACCUAGGCAGUCCUGUGUGACUUUGUGAAAAAUAAUCUCGUGUUUUAAGUCUUGUGUGUUUGUUUUCAACUUCUAACUUAUUUUGCUCCAUUUCUGUGUUCUUAAUUUUUAAUUUGUUAAUCAUUAUUAUUAUUACUAUUCUGUUUCAUUUUCUGAUGCCAUCCGCUUAAAAGUCGAUUUAUGUACCACACGCCUUGGCAUUCGGGAGAUCAUGUGCAUCAAAGCCAAGAACCUACACAGAGGAGGAACUGAAUGCCAAGCUGACCCGGCGUGUGCAAAAGGCAGCUCGGAGACAGGCCAAGCAGGAGGAGCUUAAGCGGCUGCAUCGAGCCCAGAUCAUCCAGCGGCAGCUGCAGCAGGUGGAGGAGAGGCAGCGGCGGCUGGAGGAAAGGGGCGUGGCUGUGGAGAAGGCGCUCCGCGGCGAAGCAGGUAUGGGCAAGAAGGAUGACCCCAAGCUGAUGCAGGAGUGGUUCAAGCUAGUGCAGGAGAAGAACGCCAUGGUGCGCUACGAGUCGGAGCUGAUGAUCUUUGCCCGGGAGCUGGAGCUGGAAGACCGGCAGAGCCGACUGCAGCAGGAGCUCCGGGAACGCAUGGCAGUGGAAGAUCACCUUAAGACUGAGGAGGAGCUGUCAGAAGAGAAGCAGAUUCUCAAUGAGAUGCUGGAGGUGGUGGAGCAGAGAGAC
Molecule: small RNA, 3428 nt
Filed under: Pongo abelii (Sumatran orangutan)
Lineage: Eukaryota; Metazoa; Chordata; Mammalia; Primates; Hominidae
Description: processed transcript
Source: RNAcentral